GAUGAACGCUGGCGGCGUGCCUAAUACAUGCAAGUCGAGCGAACAGACGAGGAGCUUUCUCCCCUGACGUUGGCGGCGGACGGACGAGUAACACGUGGAUAGCCUACCUCUUAGACUGGGAUAAUUACGGGGAACCGGUGCUACUACCGGAUAAUAUAUUGAACCGCAUGGUUCAAUAGUUAUAGACGGUUUUGCUGACACCAAUAGCUGAAUCCGGGUCGAAUUAGUUAGUUGGUAAGGUAACGGUUUACCAAGGCAACGAUGCGUAGCCGACCUGAGAGGGUGAUCAGCCACACUGGAACUGAGACACGGUCCAGACUCCUACGGGAGGCAGCAGUAGGGAAUCUUCCGCAAUGGGCGAAAGCCUGAUGGAGCAACACCGCGUGAGUGAUGAAGGUCUUCGGAUCGUAAAGCUCUGUUGUUAGGAAAGAACAAAAGCGUAUUUAACUAUGCACGUCUUGACGGUACCUAAACAAAAAGCCACGGCUAACUACGUG
Molecule: ribosomal RNA, 497 nt
Filed under: uncultured bacterium
Lineage: Bacteria
Description: partial 16S ribosomal RNA
Rfam family: Bacterial small subunit ribosomal RNA
Source: RNAcentral